Cyanidioschyzon merolae strain 10D is the source of this 1981-nucleotide RNA transcript. RefSeq lists it as hypothetical. The record is from RefSeq and is a predicted model, not a curated record. Lineage: Eukaryota; Rhodophyta; Bangiophyceae; Cyanidiales; Cyanidiaceae. The transcript has a single exon.
UGGUAUAGAAAAGCUGUUCUUGCUCAAUGAAGUAUCUGCUCCAGCGGCUAAGUUCCCAAGGCGGAUGAUUAGGUUAGGUACUAGGCACACACGACAGGACGUACGAAACGACCAGAAUAUCCGAGAAGAAGUAUAGGUAAUGGAACUUGGAGGUAGGGCGUUUGAUAGAUACUCCACCUCGCACUGAAAAAAUAACACAAAAAAGUUUGAAAAGAAAAAUGCGCAUCAUCGGAGAACGCUGGCACAAGUAAACGUUUUGUCCAUGAAAAACAUCCGGUGCUGAUGCGCGUCGCCACGUGCGCCAAUGCAUGCAUGCGGGCGCCGCGGGAGGCUCUCGCCAGGCUCGGGAGCGCGCCCCCAUGUGUCAGGUGUUGGCGCUGAUCGGAUCGAGUCACCGGCGUAUGCGUGGGUGCGUGCGUGUGCGUGUCUGUAUGUGGAUGAGUAUGGAGGUUGCAGAUGGUGCCGCUUGCUGCCGAUGAAGCAUUCGCUGGAAUAUCCUUGUGGCGUCGUUGCAGCUGACGUGUUAUUUUCGCUACUUAUCAGUUAGCGCACGGCAGCGUAGAACGUGGUCAUUUUGGCGUUCGAGAGCCCGCUCGAAGCGGUGUACAGGAAGCGCAGUUGAGCUUGUGAGACGGGAACGUCUAUGUUAGUCCAAUGUUGCUGACCUGGUUGUCGUUCUGGAUGCGGUUGUGCUGUGCGGGAAGCGCUUCGUGCCAUUGCCGGCUCAUCCCGAAUUCGGCUGGGACCGGUGCGUGGUACGUGGAUGUAUGCUUUGCAUGCCAUCAAGACUGAAGGAUUUCGCACUUGCCAUCUCCUGUCGAGGCUUUUUUAGGUCGUCUGCAACCAGCUGAACGUUGACUGUGUGUAGGCGUCUCAGCGCGGAUGGUUUUUUUUGAUCCGUUAUGCGCAAUCUCAUGGCCAAGUUGUUCGGGCGCUGGGCAGGCGCCGACACAUCAGCGUGUCCAGCAUGGGGACAGGCGCCUGGAGCAGGUUCGCCAUCCGAUUGGUCACCCGUUGGACUGCUGCACCCUAUGGUUUCUACAGGAAGAUGAAUCCAGGGCUGAAUGAACGUAGAGUCCAUCGAAGCUGACCAGCGGUCUCUCGCCCGACUUCAGACUCCAAUCCUGUAUCCGAAGAUAAUAUCUGGAUCGAUGGAGCGAUCUUGCAGCCUCGGAAAACUCAGCGCAGACCGUGAACACUCGCGGUAUACCUGCAUUGCCCCGCAGCAGCAUGCGCAUCCCGCGCUCGGGCAGUGCAAAUGAAGUAGACUCGGUAUUCAGUGGGAACAUGGUUGUCGCCAGACAUUUGUGCAACGCCGCCCGUAUGCAUACCUGGACGGUAGGAUUGCCCGAGCAGUUUCCGUCGCAGGAAGCGUGCGAGGCAUACGUGCAGCGUGGCUGGACAGGGUCCCGGGCGGGCGGCCUCUGCUGCAGGGUGAGUCUGGAACGACGCUUCUCGUAACGCUCAAGCGCAUCGUGCUGUCGAUUCGCGUCAGGGAUCAGACGAUCGCAUGAAGCAUAUGAACAGUGGGAGUCUUGGAAGCGUUUGUGGGCGCACGACCUCCGAAUUGAGCCCUGCUGCUGCUAUCCUUUGUAUUGAACGCUGUACUGUCCGGGAUUUCAGGCCUUUUUCGUGCGCCGCGUCAUGUGCUGGGUGUAGCCGUGCGCGACGCGUACGCGGCGGUCCUGACGCGCUGCAGCACUACGAGGUUAGAGGCGCUCGACUUUAUUGUGUUUCACUUUCGCUGCGUCGAUGCGAAUGGUACUGCGCAUUGCGUAGGAGGAGAUCGAAUUCACGAUGCAGUGUACCGUAUAGAUUGUGGACGCAUCGCCUAUAGGAUAUAUAUACUUGUCUGAGCAAUGCACGGAGGACCGCAUUCUUCAUUUAGGUCAGUCAUACCAUACUAGUCAGAUUGAUGAGGAACACUGAAAGAAACAAGUAGAUGCGCUCUGUGUCAGAAAUUGGUAUUCUUAAAGAUCGC